Long non-coding RNA from Macrobrachium nipponense, 630 nucleotides. RefSeq lists it as uncharacterized. The transcript has 4 exons. The record is from RefSeq and is a predicted model, not a curated record. NCBI's taxonomy places the organism in Eukaryota, Metazoa, Arthropoda, Malacostraca, Decapoda, Palaemonidae.
GGAGAAACACAGGAAUUGAGAGGACGUACAAUGCAGGAUGAGAACGACUACAUCACAAUACCCUUGUUACAUGAUAACAAUCUCCUGAUGAAUCUAGUCCUAGUGCCUACCCAGACUUUGCCCAUGACUGUCUUUCACCCACUGAAUAUAUCUAUGUUGAGAAAUGUUAUUGCGAAGGAUCGCACAUUCGGAAUUGUACAUACAAAGCACAUUGAAGGUGGUGGGUCGGAAAUGGCUAAAUAUGGAACGACAGCAGAAAUAUAUGAGUAUCAAGAGAAGGGGGGAGCGGAGCUCUGUCAAUUAAAGCAAAGGGUCGUCAGAGAUUCAAAUUGAUUUCGACCAGGCGAGAAAUGACAGGAUUGGUUGUUGCCCAAGUAAAGAUUUUACCCGAGAUACGAAUGGAGAACCCAUUUGAAAUGAUGCGUCUUCAGUCAUUAGAUAAAAUGCUGUUAUCCCCUCCAGUAGAAGAAGAGGCUGGAAAAGCUCCUCAUGCUGGUUAUUUAGAUGAAGUCCGAACUCCCAAGUUUUGGCACGUCAGAAGGAAAAUGCAUGGUUGACUCCAUGGCCUUCAUGGGUUUAUAAUCAGUACGACGAUCUUCUCCUGACGCUAAGGUUAUCAGUGAACUCGAG